ACCUGGCUGGCUCAGUAGAGCAUGCGACUCUUGAUCUUGGGGUUGUGAGUUUGAGCCCCACGUUGGGUA
RNAcentral lists this transfer RNA (69 nucleotides) under Ailuropoda melanoleuca (giant panda). It matches the Rfam family "tRNA". Rfam says of the family: Transfer RNA (tRNA) molecules are approximately 80 nucleotides in length. Their secondary structure includes four short double-helical elements and three loops (D, anti-codon, and T loops). Lineage: Eukaryota; Metazoa; Chordata; Mammalia; Carnivora; Ursidae. The record is from Rfam by way of RNAcentral.